Molecule: unclassified non-coding RNA, 329 nt
Filed under: soil metagenome
Description: partial contains 5.8S ribosomal RNA, internal transcribed spacer 2, and large subunit ribosomal RNA
Rfam family: 5.8S ribosomal RNA (bases 1-120)
Source: RNAcentral
GAUGAAGAACGAAGCGAAAUGCGAUAAGUAAUGUGAAUUGCAGAAUUCAGUGAAUCAUCGAAUCUUUGAACGCACAUUGCGCCCCCUGGUAUUCCGGGGGGCAUGCCUGUCCGAGCGUCAUUACAACCCUCAAGCUCAGCUUGGUGUUGGGCCCCGCCGCCCCGGCGGGCCCUAAAGUCAGUGGCGGUGCCGUCCGGCUCCGAGCGUAGUAAUUCUUCUCGCUCUGGAGGUCCGGUCGUGUGCUCGCCAGCAACCCCCAAUUUUUUUCAGGUUGACCUCGGAUCAGGUAGGGAUACCCGCUGAACUUAAGCAUAUCAAUAAGCGGAGGA